This 332-nucleotide ribosomal RNA is filed under the name uncultured Bacteroides sp. RNAcentral describes it as "bacterial SSU rRNA". It matches the Rfam family "Bacterial small subunit ribosomal RNA", at positions 568 to 898 of the family's 1533-position model. Lineage: Bacteria; Pseudomonadati; Bacteroidota; Bacteroidia; Bacteroidales; Bacteroidaceae. The record is from RNAcentral.
AACGCAGGUGGUUUGGUAAGUCAGGGGUGAAAGUCCGCAGCUUAACUGCGGCACUGCCUCUGAUACUGCCUUUCUUGAGUGCAUGAGGGGGAAGCGGAAUUCCGAGUGUAGAGGUGAAAUUCGUAGAUAUUCGGAGGAACACCGGUGGCGAAGGCGGCUUCCUGGCAUGUAACUGACACUCAUGUUCGAAAGCGUGGGUAGCAAACAGGAUUAGAUACCCUGGUAGUCCACGCCCUAAACGAUGGGCACUAGGUGUGGGAGGUAUCGACCCCUUCCGUGCCGCAGCUAACGCAUUAAGUGCCCCGCCUGGGGAGUACGGCCGCAAGGUUGAA